Long non-coding RNA from Lactuca sativa (garden lettuce), 2105 nucleotides. RefSeq lists it as uncharacterized. Lineage: Eukaryota; Viridiplantae; Streptophyta; Magnoliopsida; Asterales; Asteraceae. The record is from RefSeq and is a predicted model, not a curated record.
CCCAACCUCAAAUUAGAGGUAUCACGUUCAAAAUAUUGCAUCUCUCCCUCUCUCAUAGAGCCGCCGCUGUUGCUCACCACCCAUCACACCUGUUGUUGCUACUCACAGCUUUCCGAUUUCAAGAGCCCAUCCUUCCCCAACAAUGGUUGAUUUUCUGUAAUUGCCCCUACAGAAGUUAUAAGUUCGUCUAGUUCCUUUACACGCAGCUCGCCCUCAUCCCCUAUAGAAGUAUUCAAUUGGAAGGUUCAAACUGCAGAAAAUUGAGAAAGAAGUAAUUUUAUUAAGGGCAAAUGGGUCAAAUCACAUGAUCCAAAUAUACUUCUUCCCCAAAUCAGGAAACAGUCGAUCGUGUCGUUGUUCCAAAAACUAUGUCGAUCCCAAAUCUGAAAAUUGUCGAUCUCGGAAAAUUGCUAGGGUAAAAAACGCCAUUAUCGAUCGGACAUCACUCUAUAAGUAGAUUUUUCUCGAUCGUCCCUACCAGAAGCCAGAACCUAUUGAUUGGGAGUACUACAGGAAAGAAAAUAUGUUACAAUUCUUAUUAAGAGACACAUUAAAACGAAAGCAUACAAGUGUACGUUUCAUAAACAAACGUACCAAUGAUGCAAAAUCUGUUGGUAAUAUAUUUGUCCCAUUAUCUACACCAGCAUUAUCUACACCAGCAUUGUCGUCAUCAUCAUCUCGUACCACAUUAUCAUCUGUUGGUACUGUAUCUACCCCAGCAUUUGUUUCACAUGUUGGUACUAUGGGUGCCACAUUAUCAACACAUGCAUCAUCCAUACCUCCAUCAUCCAACCAGUCAUUCUUACCUACAUCAUCCACCUAAUCAUUUGUACCUACAUCUAUCCAAUCAUCUGUACCUACAUCUACUACAUCAUCUGUACCUACAUCCACAACAAAUUGUAGUGAAUCGGUUAAGGAAAAUGUUGGCGUUCAACAUCAAGAGUAUUUACUUGGAUCUACAGGACUGAAUGGGGUCUAUAUAUUGGAGUGUGAGAUAAGGAGUUAUUUCCUUCGGGCCCAUGUUCUGCCGUUAUCUAUGAAUCCUUUGGUGAAAGAGCUGAUUUAAAUGGGUAUAGUUGGGCACCUUCAAGCGACGAGACAAAACUCCUUUAUUGGGACGAGUUUCAUAAAAAGUGCUAUUGGGAUGAUGCAAAAACUCCAUUAGUCCAGGCUUGUUGGGAAAAUAAGGCAAAGGAAAGAUAUAGACAAUAUAUCUACAAUAUAAGCUCAAAAUGGUAAAAGUCGACUCUAAAAAAACCUGUUAAUAUAACAUCAGAAGUGUGGACAUCCUAGACUGCAAGAUGGAAUACUGAAGAGUUCAAGAAGAAAUUAGAACAAAACAAAAAAAAAUAAGCGUAGAGGUGUAGCUGUUGGACAAGCCCUUUCUACGCAUACCGAUGGAUCGGCUUCUCAUUCCAAGAUUGCUUCUGAUUUAAAGAAGCUUCGGGGACAUGAUCCGGCACACCAUGAACUAUUUGUGUAUACACACACUAAGAAUCACGAUGGAGUGACUUUUUUAGUUGACAAAGCUAAAAAAUUCAUGAUGAUUUUAUGGAACGAUGUGAUCAGUUGGAAGCAAUAGGAGACGAAAUUGAUGAGGACAAACUAUUUUAUGAUGUUGUUGGGGGGCAUGAUCGAAAAAAGAGAUUAUAUGGAUUUGGAUCAUAUGGAAAGUGCAUUCGUUCUAGUAAAGGAUCUUCUGAAAUGCAUCGCGAAUAACGAGGAUAAUAAUGCCGAGACAAAAGUCGAGAUUGAGAAUUUGAAGAAGUUAGUUGAGACACAACGCGAACAAUAUGAGGAUAUUCAACAAAAAUAUGAGGAUGUUCAGCAAAAAGAUGAGGAUGCUCAGAAAAAGAAUGUAGAGUUUCAGCAGAAAAAUGUGGAUGUUCAAGCAAAGUUUGAACAACAACUUGCACAAGCAAUGAAUGUCAUUAACACAUUGAGUGAACAGGUCAAAACUUUUAUUAAUCAAUGAUAGAAUAUUAUGUAUCGAAUAAUGUUUUACAUUAAAUUUGUAGCGACUUUUGAUUUUGAAAUAUGUAUCUUUUGAUGUAUUGGAUAUUUCUUUUAGUUUCUAUAGAAAUACUUUGUUAUUUUUGGUUUUA